Molecule: non-coding RNA, 3725 nt
Organism: Misgurnus anguillicaudatus (oriental weatherfish)
Lineage: Eukaryota; Metazoa; Chordata; Actinopteri; Cypriniformes; Cobitidae
Source: RefSeq, a predicted model, not a curated record
UGAGUGUGGUGGGGGGGGUUAACCAUGUCUCUUUAAGACAGCACAUACAGUAUUGUGGUACAUAAAAACUGUUUUCUAAAUACGUUUAUUAUUAAUAUAAUUUAAUUAGUCUAUUUAAGAAACUUAGCAUCAUUCAAAAUAACUAAAAUUCAAUGGACACAAUUACAAUUUUAAUGUGUGAAAAUUAUGUCUCUGACUCAAGAGAAAUGCAACAAAUGUUAUUUCAGAAUAUUUAUUUCCAACACUUUGAAAACAUGUCUCCAACUGCCCUAUGUCAGAAUAUUGUGCACGUUUCUCUCAAUGCUGCAUACAUCGUUUAAAAGAAGCCGUUCAAACGACAUCAUGUAACACAUUUUUGCUAGCUAGAAUGUUGAUAAAUUAGUCAGUGAAAUGUAAAGCUGCUUGAUUUUGCUGAUGUCUCAUGAUUUGAAGUUCACUGUUUCUAUUGUUAUUAUAAUUCUACCCUAACAUUUCAUUAAAUCUAAAUAUGAAAUAGAAACAAAAAUAUUAAUAGACAGGUCCAUAAUCUAAAAGACAGUCUUUCACAUGUGAAUGCAAAACAUGUUGGGUGAUACUGACUGACAAACUCGGGUAAACAUAUCUGCAGAUACCUGUCAGCUACUGUACUUCUAAUCCAGAGGUGCCCAAAGUUGGCCCACAAUAGAUCUUUAAUUUGGCCCAUCAUGCCACAUGAGAUAAGGAAAAAGAACAAAAGUCAUUGACGCAGAUGUUCAUAUUUUUAAUUAAACAUUUUCUAAAAUGUAUCAUUUUUUUGUUGUAUUUUUACAUUACAAAAAUGUAAAUUAAUAUUAAAUGCAAGGGAUUAAAGUGAAUUUUUUUAUGUUUCAUGCAUACUUGAAGGUGUAUAAAAUGCAUCACAAAACUUAAUGAACUCGGGUACUACAGGCUAAAAAUGAAGAGGUUUUGGCAGUGGCACACAGAGAAAAGGAUAUUUUAAAUUGAUUGGCAAAAUGAUUUUUUUUACAAAAAGCCUUGGAAAAUAAAACUGCAUUAGUUAUGCAUAAACAGAGUAAUGUUUGCUUAUUUAUUUUUAAAAUAUUAGAAAAUUAUAAAUUAGGGUUUAUCAGAGCAACUUUAAUUUUAAUAUAACACAACAACAUUUACUUUUGGGCCACGGCCCUCAGUCAGGUUUGGCCCUUGUAAGGAAAAUGUUCGGGCACCAAUCAAUGUGUAGUCUAUCUGAGGAGGUAACUGUUUAGCAUAUGAUAAUGCAUGCUUGUACAAAGUCAGUCCACAUAUUAUAAUGUUUGUCUUCAAUCAAUCAAUUUAAAUAAAAGAGAUGGGGACUUUAUAAUAUAAUAAGGGUCCAUAUAUCACAGUGAUAAAAGACAUACAUGUAUUUUUACUUUAACAUGAACUAAUGCUGAGUUAAGGCAUAUACUAUCAUAAACUAAGAGUCAUCAUUAAGAUGACAUGUUUUUCAUUGUUAGUUAAUGCAUUCAUUUACAAUGAAUUAAUUUGAGUUCAUGUUGUAAUUAAGUAAGUUCAGUAAGUUACAUGUCUUAACUCAGCAUUAGUUUUGUAUUUACUUAUAUUUAAGUAAGAAUUCAUUUAGGUAUACGUUUAAUGUUUCCAAUGAUGAGCAGUUAAUCCACUAAACCCAAAGAUAAUUCCUGAGGCAUGUUUAAAGAGUUUUGUAUUUCAUCAAAGAUUUUAUAUUUAAGAAAAUCUGAAAUCAUUCAAAAUAACUGUUAACAUGUUUGUCAACUAAACAUGUUUUGUCAACGUUAUAAACUUUAUAGAAAUAUUUUUUAUUAAUGACCAAGUAUAAAGAACCAUGCAUAGUGUGAAAACGCGGAUUAUAUAAAAGUAUAUAAUAAAGUGCGAGCAGAGGAUCAAUCAAACUUGGGCUGGAAUGAUUGUAGUGCAUCCAAUGCACCUUGGAAUUCGUAGUUUACAUCUACAGCAGCAUAUGCUACAGCAGUGACAACGCCAAAGAAAAGGACUACAUUUCCCAGAAUGCACCUGCACCCACUCAUCUGCCCCCACUCUUCAGGUGCGACUGCUUGACCUAUGGGCUUGACGGGAAAAUUCAAAAUCGCGAACCGUUACAGCCUGGACUUCUCGUUCGGUGUCUUUCUUUGUUUGCUUGCACAUCAACAGUAAGAGGUCAUGUACACUGUGGUCAACUUGUGGACGCUGAAGAGGUUUCUGGGUAAAGAUGAUAGAAAAAUGAAGUAACAGUGGAAGCUAAAACAUCAAACUGAUCCAGACACUGAAGAAAUUGAUGUCACUGCAAUCUGGCCAAAUUGAUACAACUAUAUUGAAGUAGCCUACUGUAAAGAAGCUGCAGAACGUCACAGAGACUCUGAGGACAUCAACACAGAAUAUCAAGGCUCCCAAGAGAUGUCUGUCCAGAUGAGGGUGCAUCAACGUUACCUUUGCUGACAAGUAUAUGCUUUACAAUGUAAAACCUAACAGUUAACUUAACUCAAACCAUUUAAGGAAAUUGGUUGCCUUAAAUCAUUAAGUUUUAAAAAAACAUACAUUUGAGUACUGUGAACUUAAGUCUUGUGCAAUUAUGCACUUAUAUUUAGGUAGUGUGAACUUAAAUAUAAGUGCUUAACUGCAUGUGACUCAAUUUGUUUAAGUUCACAGUACUCAAAUCUAUGUGUUUUAAAACUUGAAUGGUUUAAUGCAACCGGUUUUCUUAAAUGUGAGAAAUUACAGUGUUACAGUGAGAAAUGUUUGAAUAAUUCCAAGACAGAGCUCUGUGAUUGAUUCUACACUGCAAAAAUCACUUUCUAACACUUUUCAUCUUGUUUUCAGUAGAAAAACUAAAAAUUCUUAAAUCAAGAUGUAUUUUCUUGAUGAGCAAAAUUACCUUAGAAAAUAUGUCUAGUUUUUAGACAAAAAUAUACAAUUUAAGAUAAUUUGUGCCUAAACAAGAAAAAAUAUCUAACAAUGGGGUGAGAAAAUUGUGUUUUAAUUAAGUUUUUAAGAAAAAAGAAAACUUAAGAUUUUUUUCUCACACUUGGCAGAUAUUUUUGCUUGUUUUAAGCACAAAUUCACUUAAUACACAGACACACACACAUUUUUUAUUUGGUCUAAAACUAGACUUAUUUUCUUGGGUCAUUUUGUUCCUCAAGAAAAAGCAUUUUAAUUUAAAUAAUAUUUCUACAGAAAACAAGACAAAAAUACUAUGUAAGAAAGUAAUUUUUUGCAGUGUAAGACUAAUUUUUUUAGAUUAUUUAGAUAUUUACUACAUUACAGUGGCAGCUGGUGACUUCUUUUUUUUUUGUGAGCACUCGAUGCGAUGUUUGUCACAACAUGUAUAUAGCCUGUCAUUUGUGUGGUUCCCAAUUUCAAAAUAUGUGUUCUGCGUGUCGAGUGCGUGUAUGUGCAUCACGUGUUUUGACUAAACACGUGAUGCACGUGGUUUACAUGAAGCAACAAACACAUAUUUUAAAAACACAAGCAACACACAUGACACUCUGAACACUUAUUUUGAAUUUGCAACCCUCGGAUGAGCAGUCACGAGCCGCCACUGCUACAUUACAUUGUACUGCUUUGAAUGUAGUUUUCAUUGUUGCUUUUAUUUUGUUUUAUUUUACUCUAAUAUUGCUUUAUCUGUCUGUAUAUUUAUGAGUUUAAAUGGUAUUGUUUAUGUAUGCAACUUUUAAUAUUUGUGUAUUAUAUUAUUUUGUGAUUGUGACAAUUGUGGAUUGUUCAGUUUUUUUAUUAAAUAAACAUUUCAAACUCAA